AAAUAGAUAAGAGAACGGGAGAAGCUGGAAGACAAAAAAAAGAAGCAGAGGAACUCCCGUGACUAAAAUUGCUUUUUUUUCUGUGGAAGCAAGGCAUGCAGGAGCAAAAGAAAGAAGGGCAGCAGAGAAAUACCAUUGAAAGCUAACAUGUUAAGAGGCAUCUCUCUAACAGAGAUAUCAUUAGAGCAAUAGAGGCACAAAAGCAAGAGAUGGAGGUGGAGCGCAGGAGGCUUUUUUCAAAUGCAUAACAGAAAAUGGUGAAGUUAAGGAAAGAUAAAGAGGAAGAGAUGUUCAGAGAGGUCCAUAUGCCCAGGGAGAGGAUCAUGAAGAAAUUGGCUCCACAACAGCAGGGGCAGACAGACAAUGAGGAGGAGCUCAUUGCCAAGGCUAUUAUUGCUCAAUGGCACAGCAGCAGAAGGAGAUGGCUAUGCUGGACUCCGUUGCCUCACACAGAGAA
This is a long non-coding RNA of Oncorhynchus kisutch (coho salmon), 457 nucleotides long. RefSeq lists it as uncharacterized. Lineage: Eukaryota; Metazoa; Chordata; Actinopteri; Salmoniformes; Salmonidae. The record is from RefSeq and is a predicted model, not a curated record. The transcript has 3 exons.